CCAGACUCCUACGGGAGGCAGCAGUGAGGAAUAUUGGUCAAUGGGCGCGAGCCUGAACCAGCCAAGUCGCGUGAGGGAAGACGGUCCUAUGGAUUGUAAACCUCUUUUGUCGGGGAGCAAAAGACGCCACGCGUGGCGUUCCGAGAGUACCCGAAGAAAAAGCAUCGGCUAACUCCGUGCCAGCAGCCGCGGUAAUACGGAGGAUGCGAGCGUUAUCCGGAUUUACUGGGUGUAAAGGGCGCGUAGGCGGAUUUGCAAGUCAGAUGUGAAAUACCGGGGCUUAACUCCGGAACUGCAUUUGAAACUGUAGACCUUGAGUGCCGGAGAGGAAAGCGGAAUUCCUAGUGUAGCGGUGAAAUGCGUAGAUAUUAGGAGGAACACCAGUGGCGAAGGCGGCUUUCUGGACGGUAACUGACGCUGAGGCGCGAAAGUGUGGGUAGCAAACAGGAUUAGAUACCCCAGUAU
This 465-nucleotide ribosomal RNA is filed under the name uncultured bacterium. RNAcentral's name for it is "bacterial SSU rRNA". It matches the Rfam family "Bacterial small subunit ribosomal RNA", at positions 331 to 793 of the family's 1533-position model. The record is from RNAcentral.